AUUGAACGCUAGCGGGAUGCCUUACACAUGCAAGCCGAACGGCAGCGCGGACUUCGGUCUGGCGGCGAGUGGCGAACGGGUGAGUAAUGCAUCGGAACGUACCUUUCAGUGGGGGAUAACGUAGCGAAAGUUACGCUAAUACCGCAUAUUCUGUGAGCAGGAAAGCAGGGGAUCGCAAGACCUCGCGCUGAUUGAGCGGCCGAUGUCAGAUUAGCUAGUUGGUGAGGUAAAGGCUCACCAAGGCGACGAUCUGUAGCGGGUCUGAGAGGAUGAUCCGCCACACUGGAACUGAGACACGGUCCAGACUCCUACGGGAGGCAGCAGUGGGGAAUUUUGGACAAUGGGGGCAACCCUGAUCCAGCCAUGCCGCGUGAGUGAAGAAGGCCUUCGGGUUGUAAAGCUCUUUCGGCCGGGAAGAAAUCGCACGGGCUAAUACCCUGUGUGGAUGACGGUACCGGAAUAAGAAGCACCGGCUAACUACGUGCCAGCCGCCGCGGUAA
Molecule: ribosomal RNA, 500 nt
Filed under: uncultured bacterium
Lineage: Bacteria
Description: partial 16S ribosomal RNA
Rfam family: Bacterial small subunit ribosomal RNA
Source: RNAcentral